GCGUCAGUGGUGGAACGGUAGACACGCUACCUUGAGGGGGUAGUGCCUUACGGGCGUGGAGGUUCAAAUCCUCUCUGACGCACCA
RNAcentral lists this transfer RNA (85 nucleotides) under Sulfurovum sp. RNAcentral's name for it is "tRNA-Leu". It matches the Rfam family "tRNA". From Rfam's summary of the family: Transfer RNA (tRNA) molecules are approximately 80 nucleotides in length. Their secondary structure includes four short double-helical elements and three loops (D, anti-codon, and T loops). The record is from RNAcentral. Lineage: Bacteria; Pseudomonadati; Campylobacterota; Epsilonproteobacteria; Campylobacterales; Sulfurovaceae.